Molecule: ribosomal RNA, 474 nt
Filed under: uncultured bacterium
Lineage: Bacteria
Description: bacterial SSU rRNA
Rfam family: Bacterial small subunit ribosomal RNA
Source: RNAcentral
GGCUCAGAGUGAACGCUGGCGGCGUGCUUAACACAUGCAAGUCGAACGGUAACAGGAACUAGCUUGCUAGUUUGCUGACGAGUGGCGCACGGGUGAGUAAUAUAUAGUUAAUGUACCCCAAAGACUGGGAUAGCCACUGGAAACGGUGAUUAAUACUAGAUACACCUCUUUAACAUAAGUUAGAGAGGGAAAUGUCUUUUCGCUUUGGGAUCAGACUAUAUCCUAUCAGUUAGUUGGUGAGGUAAUGGCUCACCAAGGCAAUGACGGGUAGCGGGUUUGAGAGGAUGAUCCGCCACACUGGUACUGAGACACGGACCAGACUCCUACGGGAGGCAGCAGUGAGGAAUAUUGCACAAUGGAGGAAACUCUGAUGCAGCAACGCCGCGUGGAGGAUGACGCAUUUCGGUGUGUAAACUCCUUUUAUGAGUCAAGAAAAUGACGGUAGCUCAUGAAUAAGCACCGGCUAACUCCGUG